CCCACCAAACCCUGUUUAGCCCUGAAUCUCUGAGACGAUAAAACAAUGAGUUAAAACUUUCAACAACGGAUCUCUUGGCUCUGGCAUCGAUGAAGAACGCAGCGAAUUGCGAUACGUAGUGUGAAUUGCAGAAUUUAGUGAAUCAUCGAAUCUUUGAACGCACAUUGCGCCCGCCAGUAUUCUGGCGGGCWYGCCUGUUCKAGCGUCAUUUCAACCCCUUAAGCCCUUGUCGCUUAGUGUUGGGAGCCGAGGGCGUCCGGCCGUCGCUCCUCAAAUCCAGUGGCGGAGGCGGUUUCGCGCUCUGGGCGUAGUAGAUUUUCUCCAUCUCGCCUGCAGCCGGGGCCGGCCUCCCUGCCGUAAAACCACCACCAAUGUACCCAAAGGUUGACCUCGAAUCAGGUAGGAAUACCCGCUGAACUUAAGCAUAUCAAUAAGCGGAGGAAAAGAAACCAACAGGGAUUGCCCCAGUAACGGCGAGUGAAGCGGCAACAGCUCAAAUUUGAAAUCUGGCCCUCGGGUCCGAGUUGUAAUUUGUAGAGGAUGCUUUUGGCGCGGUGCCUUCCGAGUUCCCUGGAACGGGACGCCUUAGAGGGUGAGAGCCCCGUACGGUUGGACACCAAGCCUCUGUAAAGCGCCUUCGACGAGUCGAGUAGUUUGGGAAUGCUGCUCUAAAUGGGAGGUAAAUUUCUUCUAAAGCUAAAUAUUGGCCAGAGACCGAUAGCGCACAAGUAGAGUGAUCGAAAGAUGAAAAGCACUUUGAAAAGAGGGUUAAACAGCACGUGAAAUUGUUGAAAGGGAAGCGUUUGCGACCAGACCUCUCCCCGGCGGAUCAUCCGGCGUUCUCGCCGGUGCACUUCGCCGGGCUGAGGCCAGCAUCGGUUUCCGCGGGGGGACAAAAGCGGGGGGAACGUAGCUCCCUCGGGAGUGUUAUAGCCCCCCGCAUAAUACCCUCGCGGGGACCGAGGACCGCGCUUCGGCAAGGAUGCUGGCGUAAUGGUCGUCAACGACCCGUCUUGAAACACGGACC
RNAcentral lists this ribosomal RNA (1027 nucleotides) under Rosellinia aquila. RNAcentral's name for it is "eukaryotic LSU rRNA". The stretch from base 386 to 1027 matches the Rfam family "Eukaryotic large subunit ribosomal RNA", at positions 1 to 667 of the family's 3401-position model. The record is from RNAcentral. Lineage: Eukaryota; Fungi; Ascomycota; Sordariomycetes; Xylariales; Xylariaceae.